This 257-nucleotide ribosomal RNA is filed under the name uncultured bacterium. RNAcentral's name for it is "partial 16S ribosomal RNA". It matches the Rfam family "Bacterial small subunit ribosomal RNA", at positions 524 to 779 of the family's 1533-position model. The record is from RNAcentral.
UACGUAGGGUGCAGGCGUUAAUCGGAAUUACUGGGCGUAAAGCGUGCGCAGGCGGUCUUUUAAGUCAGAUGUGAAAUCCCCGGGCUUAACCUGGGAACUGCAUUUGUGACUGGCGAGCUAGAGUAUGGCAGAGGGGGGUAGAAUUCCACGUGUAGCAGUGAAAUGCGUAGAGAUGUGGAGGAAUACCGAUGGCGAAGGCAGCCCCCUGGGCCAAUACUGACGCUCAUGCACGAAAGGCGUGGGGAGCAAACAGGAUU